Molecule: small nucleolar RNA, 107 nt
Filed under: Dichanthelium oligosanthes
Lineage: Eukaryota; Viridiplantae; Streptophyta; Magnoliopsida; Poales; Poaceae
Description: Plant small nucleolar RNA R71
Rfam family: Plant small nucleolar RNA R71
About the family: R71 is a member of the C/D box family of snoRNAs containing the C (UGAUGA) and D (CUGA) box motifs. Multiple nearly identical copies of this snoRNA have been identified in Arabidopsis, and it is thought to function as a 2'-O-ribose methylation guide for 18S ribosomal RNA.
Source: Rfam by way of RNAcentral
AUGCCAUGAUGAGGGCAUGCAGUGAUGUACUCUUGGAGGCGUACUCAUGCCUCCGAGAUGGACUCAUAAUUUUUCUAUUGGAAUCUUGAAAUCUUGUUCUGAAGGGC